This 1192-nucleotide long non-coding RNA is filed under the name Ovis aries (sheep). RNAcentral describes it as "lncRNA (ENSOARG00000026660.1)". Lineage: Eukaryota; Metazoa; Chordata; Mammalia; Artiodactyla; Bovidae. The record is from RNAcentral.
CCUCUCCUGCCUCUCAGCCGCUAACGGCCUCUCCCGAAACAGGUGGGAUGCUGACAGCCAUCCUCCAGGGAGCAGGUCCCACACGGCAGCUCAGGUGCUCAUAACGGAGCACGGGGGCAGGCAGACACACAGGCCCAGGCCACCAGAGAAACCCUCACGAGGGGCACCCCUGUGCCCUGCCCCGCCCUCCCCCCCGGACCCAGCAAGGUGACGGGCUCACCUGUCGGCCGACCACCAUGGGCCCGGCAUCACACGAGGCCUUGUGCGUGCAGAGAUGCUGCCAGACACACCAGUUACACCCCCAGUGGCUGCUCACGCAGGCCUGGCACCUGCACAGAGCACACUCAUGGGGGCGCGGGGGCACCACGGGGCAGCCCAGGGUGGGGGGAGCACCGGGGGUCGGGGUGAGGAACUCACGGUGCCGACGGGCGGAGCAAGGUGACGGCCACGCAGUCGUAGAAGGAGAGGGCAGCCUCAGCAAUCAUGACGGCGCCAAACCUGAGCUCCAUGCUCACGGACACGUGGUCUGCAGAGAGGGGAGGGGCUAGGCUGAGAACAGGGGAGGGGCACACGGAUCCCAAGACCACGCCGGGUUUGGGAUCAGCACUCCAAAGGUCAGGGACACAGUCCACAGAGUAGGAAAGAGGGACUUGAGAGGACCCGGGAGCAGAUGGAGGAUGCAGAGAAAGGUACCGCUUUGGAGACCUUUGCCUGGAGGCCCCACCUCUGGACCCUCACCCCUCCCAGGUACAAGUCACCCCGUACCCAUGAACUGCCCCUCAUGGACAGUACACAUGGGCCUGUGCACACACACAGCCAUCAGACGUGUGCACUUGGAUCUGGGCAACCCCAUCACUGCACACGGGUGACCCUGCACGCAGGGGCCAGCACACUGCAAGCGGGUGACUGUGCCCCAGAACUCAGCCCAGGCUGUUCCUGCUGCUACUCACCGGCUUCCCCUCGGGCCCAGCCACGCCACGCUCUCCUGGCAGACCCUAGAGAGAACGUGUUUAUGGCCACACCAUCUCGUCCCCCAUCCCAGCUUCCCCUGAGACAGUCCCGGGCAGAGCAGACUCCAGCCCAGACAACACAGGUGAGAGCCGUGUGCUGCACGCACGCGGCGCCGCGGGGCAAGGACUCACUGGGCUGCCGUUCUGACCCCUCUGUCCAGGCUCUCCCCGGUCGCCCUUGA